UUGACGGUACCCUACUAGAAAGGAGCCGCUAACUUCGUGCCAGAAGCGUCGGUAAUACGGGGGCUCCAAGCGUUAUCCGGUGUUAUUGGGCGUAAAGAGUCGUGUAGGUGGUUGGGUAAGUUAUCUUUCAAAUAUCUUUGCUUAACAAAGAGGAGGGGGAUAAUACUGCUCGACUAGAAUUUUCUCAAGGGAGAUCGGAACUGAGGGAGGAGUAGUGAAAUGCGUUGAUACCCUCGGGAACACCAGUGGCGCAGGCGGAUCUCUGGGAGAAGAUUGACACUGAGACACGAAAGCUAGGGGAGCGAAGCAGAUUAGAGACCUGCGUAGUCCUAGCCGUAAACGCAUGCUUGCUAGCUGCAUGAAUCUACCUUCGGGUGGUAUCGUGUGGCGAAGGUAACCCGUUAAGCAAGCCGCCUGGAAAGUACGGCCGCAAGGCUGAAAUUCAAAGGAAUUGGCGGGGAGGCACACAACCAGUGGAACAUGUGGUUUAAUUCGAGACUAACCGAAGAACCUCACCAGGGUUUGACAUGUAGCUGCACGUCUUAAGAAAUUAAGACUCUCUUGAAGGUGCUACACAGGUGCUGCAUGGCUGUCGUCAGCUCGUUCCGUGAGGAGUGCCCUUAAGUGGGACAACGAGCGCAACUCCUAUUACAUGUUAGAAAUGUCAUGUAAGACUGCCUUGCCAUUUGGCGGGGAGGAAGGAGGGGCAGACGUCAAGUCCGCAUGGUCCUUAUGCCCUGGGCUACACACAUGUUACAAUGAGUACGGCAAUGAGUCUGUCGCGAGCACGUAAGUGUAAGCUAAUCUCUUAAAUGUACUCUCAGUGGGGAUUGAGGUCUGCAACUCGACCUCAUGAACACGGAAUUGGUAGUAAUCGCGGGUCAGCUAUACCGCGGUGAUACGUUCUUGCCUCUUGCACACACCGCCCGUCAAACCAGCAAAGU
Molecule: ribosomal RNA, 944 nt
Filed under: uncultured organism
Description: bacterial SSU rRNA
Rfam family: Bacterial small subunit ribosomal RNA
Source: RNAcentral